CGUUCCCGGGCCUUGUACACACCGCCCGUCACAUCACGAAAGUUGGUUGUACCGGAAGCCGGUGCGCUAACCCGCAAGGGGGGCAGGUCCUUAAGGAGUGACUGGUAACUGGGGUG
This 116-nucleotide ribosomal RNA is filed under the name uncultured bacterium. RNAcentral describes it as "partial 16S ribosomal RNA". It matches the Rfam family "Bacterial small subunit ribosomal RNA", at positions 1369 to 1482 of the family's 1533-position model. The record is from RNAcentral.